CAGCACAAUGUCCCAGUCAUGCAUAUACAUACCUAUAUUUGUUUUCUUUUUUUUCAUUAAAGUAAACCAUUAAAAUUUAAAACUAUUAGGGGUGAAAUUGGAAGGUCAAAUUAUAUGUACAUAUAAAAUGUUGAGAUAUGAAAUAAUUCAAUUUCCUGACAGGAUAUUACGAGAAUGCUCUUUUUUCUUACAACAACCAGGUUAAUCAUCAUAAUUUUCACUUCCAGAUCAGUGGAAUCAUUGUUAUGAUUCCUAGUGGAAGCAUUCCUCACUUUGGAACUAAGAUCUCUAGGCCAACAGAGAGUGCUUCAGGACGGUGGUAAGACCAGAGAACUUUGUGAGCCUGGACCCACUGCUGCACUUCCUUUCCUGGAAACAAAGGCUGCCACCAUGCUCCGCCAUUGCCUGCCGCGCACAGUGGGGUGUCGCUCCAGGACCUCGCUUCAGACGUGAUUUGGCUCCAGCAUGAACUGCCCGAGGUGCUCUACGAUCUGUGCGCUGGAUGGAAGCGAACCUUUCUCUAGAGGCUAUUACGGCUUGUCUAAAACGCUCCUCCGGCAGCCUCUCCACGCGGCACUUGACCUCUCUGUUACUCCUGACCCUGGUGCACUCAAGGUGAGAACGUGUAGGUCUUUCUGUUACUUCCGGUUGCAAAGACUGAAUUUCAUAGCUCUCCUCCUUUAGAGAGAAAUUCUUAGCUUCUCUUCUGGACUUCCAACCUGUAGGAUAACAAGAAGGAAAACAGUAUUUUCAUGUUGCAGAAGAAGGAAAAGUUCUAAGGUAGGAAUAACAAACUAGAAACAGCGAAUAAUUUAAAUAGCUCUUAACACUGCACUGCAAUUUGAAAAAAGGGGAAUUGGGAAAAUAAUAAAGAAGGUGAAGGGAGCUUGUGAAGGAAGUGAUUCUUUCAUCUCUGGUGAGAAUCUGAGUCAGCUGGGGACCCUGUUAAAAAAUACGAUUUCCAGACACUACUCAGCCAUGAAAAAAAAAAAAAAUGCCAUUUGCAGCAACACGUAUGGACCUAAAGAUCAUCAUUCUAUGAGAAGUGGCCGGAAAUAGAAAAAUACCAUAUGACAUUAUUCACAUGUGGAAUCUAAAAAAUAAAUAAAUAAAAUAGAACAUCUGAUGUCCAGGAACCACCAAAGACUAAGUAAACGGGAAUCUAAAGGAGCAGGACGUUGUAUCUAACAGCAGUCCUCUCACGUGCAGCCUCAAAUAGAGCCAGACUUUGCCUCCUUCUCUCUGCUACUAACUCUAGUGGAGUCACUUUGUCCAAAGCCAUCCCUCACCAAGAUUAACAAAACACUAUCCUCAUGCAUCUCCCUGC
Camelus dromedarius (Arabian camel) is the source of this 1327-nucleotide long non-coding RNA. RefSeq lists it as uncharacterized. The record is from RefSeq and is a predicted model, not a curated record. Lineage: Eukaryota; Metazoa; Chordata; Mammalia; Artiodactyla; Camelidae. The transcript is spliced from 4 exons.